Non-coding RNA from Hyaena hyaena (striped hyena), 72 nucleotides. NCBI's taxonomy places the organism in Eukaryota, Metazoa, Chordata, Mammalia, Carnivora, Hyaenidae. The record is from the annotation of a RefSeq genome assembly.
GCCUGGCUAGCUCAGUCAGUAGAGCAAUGACUCUCAAUCACAGGGUCAUGGGUUCAAGCCCCAUGUUGGGCA